UAAAUUAUGAACAGAUUGGGGGUUAAUUGUAUACACCUCUGGUAAGGAGUAGAAAUUUUUUUGGAUUUAUAGAAUGAAGGAACUAUUUGAGAUAAGCCGUUUACAAAGGAUGUGUUUCUUUUAUUAAGAUACAAAGUUAUGGGGGAUUCGUAAGGGAUUAAGAUACUCAUGGAUGUGUAAGCCAUUAUAAUAAUGCUGUACAAGGGGAUUUGUAGAGUUCUAGUUAGGUUUUCCAUUAAGCUCGUUUGUGAGAAAAUCACAAGUAUUUGGGUUUCCUGGGGGAUUAAUAGUUUACAAGGUUGAUAACUUAAUUUAAUUUUCGGAAAAGGCAUCACCAGUGAGUGGAGCCUACGGAUUAAUUUGAUUCUACAACGUGAAAACUUUUCAUGUCCAGACAUAGUGUGGAUUGACAGAUUGAGAGCUCUUUCCUGAUUUUAUGGGUGGUGAGUCAUGGCCGUUCUUAGUUGGUGGAGUGAUUUGUCUGGUUAAUUCCGUUACCGAACGAGUCCACUGCCUUCUAAAUAGCCCAGUGAGUGAAUCUUCACUGACUGCUGACUUAUUAGAGGGACGUACAUUCUAUCAGAUUCAGGAGGAUAGUGGCAAUAACAGGUCUGUGAUGCCCUUAGAUGUCCUUGGCUGCACGCGCGCUACACUGAUGCAUUCACUGAGUUUUACCUUGUCCGAGAGGCCUGGGCAAUAUUUUAAACGUGCAUCGUGAUAGGGAUUGCUUAUUGCAAUUAUUAAUAAUUAACGAGGAAUUCAUAGUAUCAGCAGAUCAUCAGUCGGCAGUGAUUAAGUACUUGGCUAUUCGUAUCGCAAUUCCCGUGGCACUUCAUGAUUCAAUGCCCUUGUGAAGCCUCUUGAUUAGAUCAAUCCAAUUAAGGGGGUUAUUUGUAAUUAUAUAACUGUCAUUUAGGCUCGAGCGAUAAUUCAGCAUNGAGGUAGAGAGUAAUUAAAUAGGGUUUAAUAUUAUUGUAGUAUU
RNAcentral lists this ribosomal RNA (982 nucleotides) under uncultured eukaryote. RNAcentral describes it as "bacterial SSU rRNA". The stretch from base 279 to 813 matches the Rfam family "Eukaryotic small subunit ribosomal RNA", at positions 1118 to 1666 of the family's 1831-position model. The record is from RNAcentral.